This 643-nucleotide ribosomal RNA is filed under the name uncultured Lachnospiraceae bacterium. Its description in RNAcentral is "bacterial SSU rRNA". It matches the Rfam family "Bacterial small subunit ribosomal RNA", at positions 61 to 705 of the family's 1533-position model. The record is from RNAcentral. Lineage: Bacteria; Bacillati; Bacillota; Clostridia; Lachnospirales; Lachnospiraceae.
GUCGAACGGGAAAUACUUUAUUGAAACUUCGGUGGAUUUAAUUUAUUUCUAGUGGCGGACGGGUGAGUAACGCGUGGGUAACCUGCCUUAUACCGGGGGAUAACAGCCAGAAAUGGCUGCUAAUACCGCAUAAGCGCACAGAACCGCAUGGUUUGGUGUGAAAAACUCCGGUGGUAUAAGAUGGACCCGCGUUGGAUUAGCUAGUUGGCAGGGCAGCGGCCUACCAAGGCGACGAUCCAUAGCCGGCCUGAGAGGGUGAACGGCCACAUUGGGACUGAGACACGGCCCAGACUCCUACGGGAGGCAGCAGUGGGGAAUAUUGCACAAUGGGGGAAACCCUGAUGCAGCGACGCCGCGUGAAGGAAGAAGUAUCUCGGUAUGUAAACUUCUAUCAGCAGGGAAGAUAAUGACGGUACCUGACUAAGAAGCCCCGGCUAACUACGUGCCAGCAGCCGCGGUAAUACGUAGGGGGCAAGCGUUAUCCGGAUUUACUGGGUGUAAAGGGAGCGUAGACGGCGCAGCAAGUCUGAUGUGAAAGGCAGGGGCUUAACCCCUGGACUGCAUUGGAAACUGCUGUGCUUGAGUGCCGGAGGGGUAAGCGGAAUUCCUAGUGUAGCGGUGAAAUGCGUAGAUAUUAGGAGGA